CAGUAGCCACGGUAAUACGGAGGAUCCAAGCGUUAUCCGGAAUCAUUGGGUUUAAAGGGUCCGUAGGCGGUCUUGUAAGUCAGUGGUGAAAGCCCAUCGCUCAACGGUGGAACGGCCAUUGAUACUGCAGGACUUGAAUUAUUGGGAAGUAACUAGAAUAUGUAGUGUAGCGGUGAAAUGCUUAGAGAUUACAUGGAAUACCAAUUGCGAAGGCAGGUUACUACCAAUUGAUUGACGCUGAUGGACGAAAGCGUGGGUAGCGAACAGGAUUAGAUACCCCGGUAGUCCCUGUCUCUUAUAC
RNAcentral lists this ribosomal RNA (301 nucleotides) under uncultured bacterium. RNAcentral's name for it is "partial 16S ribosomal RNA". It matches the Rfam family "Bacterial small subunit ribosomal RNA", at positions 509 to 807 of the family's 1533-position model. The record is from RNAcentral.